This is a long non-coding RNA of Impatiens glandulifera, 1013 nucleotides long. RefSeq lists it as uncharacterized. The transcript is spliced from 5 exons. The record is from RefSeq and is a predicted model, not a curated record. Lineage: Eukaryota; Viridiplantae; Streptophyta; Magnoliopsida; Ericales; Balsaminaceae.
GAAAUCAACAUUUCUACCGCUCUUCAUUUGUUCAAGUUUAGCUAUACGAACUCAAUUUUAUAGUUUUGUGAUCCGAUCAAACUGAUUUAGCUAUUCGUCUUCUUUUUAUUUAUUUAUAUUGAAGCUCAUAGUUCAAUUGUAUGGUCAAACUGUUUGUUUAUUACAAGAUCCAGUUUUACGUGACAAUGGAGUUACCUAUUUGUUUAUUCAGCAUAAUAAUGUUUAUUUGAUGACUGCUUCUAGACAGAACUGCAACGCUGCAAGCCUUCUCCUCUUUCUUCAUCGUGUAGUUGAUCAUUUUUUGAAGAGCUGGAGGAAGAAUUACUGAGAGAUAACUUUGUUGUUGUGAAUGAAUUGCUUAAUGAGAUGAUGGACUUUGGUUACCCUUAGUAUACAGAAGCAAAGAUUCUCAGUGAAUUUAUCAAGAUUGAUGCUUACAGGAUGUAAGUUGCUCAGAGGCCACCCAUGCCUGUAACAAAUGCUGUAUCUUGGCGUAGAGAGGGCAUACAAUAUAAGAAAAAUGAAGAAUCUCAGUUGACUCAAAGAGAAGGGACUGACUGGAUUGCUUCCAAGGAGAGUUAAAUGCUUCUCUAGGAAUCUACAUUGUAUUGUGCUCUCUUUGCUCUUGCUACUCAGAUUAAUUUACAUAAAACAAAUUCAGCCGUUUCGCCAUUGGCAACAUCCAAACUAGUGCAUCCUACUAGCGCCAUUACUUGGACAGAUGAAGGCCUCUCUUUAGGUCAUGGAAGAAUGAGCUGAAUCCGAAUAAUCGAAAUUAGUGGGACUCCAAUUUAUUCAAUUGCUUAGGCCGCAACGAAGAAUUCUGCAACAGCGAUCUCGAAGUUUAUAAGUUUUCCAGUUUCAAUUAGGUCUCUUCUUGAUGUGUUGUUUAAGGGUUAUUUGAAGCUCAAAGUGGCAUAACUGUUCAUAUAUUUAUAAACCUGUUCUAGUAAUUCAGAUCUGAUAUGGAUUAGUUGAUGAUGAUAUGUGAAGACAAUUCCUUCUAUUUCUUA